AAAGUCAUGGUUAAGUGGGAAACGAUGUGGGAAGGCCCAGACAGCCAGGAUGUUGGCUUAGAAGCAGCCAUCAUUUAAAGAAAGCGUAAUAGCUCACUGGUCGAGUCGGCCUGCGCGGAAGAUGUAACGGGGCUAAACCAUGCACCGAAGCUGCGGCAGCGACGCUGAUGCGUUGUUGGGUAGGGGAGCGUUCUGUAAGCCUGUGAAGGUGUGCUGUGAGGCAUGCUGGAGGUAUCAGAAGUGCGAAUGCUGACAUAAGUAACGAUAAAGCGGGUGAAAAGCCCGCUCGCCGGAAGACCAAGGGUUCCUGUCCAACGUUAAUCGGGGCAGGGUGAGUCGACCCCUAAGGCGAGGCCGAAAGGCGUAGUCGAUGGGAAACAGGUUAAUAUUCCUGUACUUGGUGUUACUGCGAAGGGGGGACGGAGAAGGCUAUGUUGGCCGGGCGACGGUUGUCCCGGUUUAAGCGUGUAGGCUGGUUUUCCAGGCAAAUCCGGAAAACUAAGGCUGAGGCGUGAUGACGAGGCACUACGGUGCUGAAGCAACAAAUGCCCUGCUUCCAGGAAAAGCCUCUAAGCAUCAGGUAACAUCAAAUCGUACCCCAAACCGACACAGGUGGUCAGGUAGAGAAUACCAAGGCGCUUGAGAGAACUCGGGUGAAGGAACUAGGCAAAAUGGUGCCGUAACUUCGGGAGAAGGCACGCUGAUAUGUAGGUGAAGUCCCUCGCGGAUGGAGCUGAAAUCAGUCGAAGAUACCAGCUGGCUGCAACUGUUUAUUAAAAACACAGCACUGUGCAAACACGAAAGUGGACGUAUACGGUGUGACGCCUGCCCGGUGCCGGAAGGUUAAUUGAUGGGGUCAGCGCAAGCGAAGCUCUUGAUCGAAGCCCCGGUAAACGGCGGCCGUAACUAUAACGGUCCUAAGGUAGCGAAAUUCCUUGUCGGGUAAGUUCCGACCUGCACGAAUGGCGUAAUGAUGGCCAGGCUGUCUCCACCCGAGACUCAGUGAAAUUGAACUCGCUGUGAAGAUGCAGUGUACCCGCGGCAAGACGGAAAGACCCCGUGAACCUUUACUAUAGCUUGACACUGAACAUUGAGCCUUGAUGUGUAGGAUAGGUGGGAGGCUUUGAAGUGUGGACGCCAGUCUGCAUGGAGCCGACCUUGAAAUACCACCCUUUAAUGUUUGAUGUUCUAACGUUGACCCGUAAUCCGGGUUGCGGACAGUGUCUGGUGGGUAGUUUGACUGGGGCGGUCUCCUCCUAAAGAGUAACGGAGGAGCACGAAGGUUGGCUAAUCCUGGUCGGACAUCAGGAGGUUAGUGCAAUGGCAUAAGCCAGCUUGACUGCGAGCGUGACGGCGCGAGCAGGUGCGAAAGCAGGUCAUAGUGAUCCGGUGGUUCUGAAUGGAAGGGCCAUCGCUCAACGGAUAAAAGGUACUCCGGGGAUAACAGGCUGAUACCGCCCAAGAGUUCAUAUCGACGGCGGUGUUUGGCACCUCGAUGUCGGCUCAUCACAUCCUGGGGCUGAAGUAGGUCCCAAGGGUAUGGCUGUUCGCCAUUUAAAGUGGUACGCGAGCUGGGUUUAGAACGUCGUGAGACAGUUCGGUCCCUAUCUGCCGUGGGCGCUGGAGAACUGAGGGGGGCUGCUCCUAGUACGAGAGGACCGGAGUGGACGCAUCACUGGUGUUCGGGUUGUCAUGCCAAUGGCACUGCCCGGUAGCUAAAUGCGGAAGAGAUAAGUGCUGAAAGCAUCUAAGCACGAAACUUGCCCCGAGAUGAGUUCUCCCUGACUCCUUGAGAGUCCUGAAGGAACGUUGAAG
RNAcentral lists this ribosomal RNA (1815 nucleotides) under Escherichia coli. Its description in RNAcentral is "partial 23S ribosomal RNA". It matches the Rfam family "Bacterial large subunit ribosomal RNA", at positions 1049 to 2843 of the family's 2925-position model. The record is from RNAcentral. Lineage: Bacteria; Pseudomonadati; Pseudomonadota; Gammaproteobacteria; Enterobacterales; Enterobacteriaceae.